GUUGAAUAGUAUAAUCAUAGUGAAUUUUGAAAUUUAUUGACAGUUUGACACAGUACUAGGAGAUCAUGAAUAGUAUAAGCAUGAAAGAAAAACGGAAAUAGUUUGACACCUACUUCGAAAUAGAUAUCUUAUUUUGAAUACAAGAAUCAAUAACGAGGAAAUUAAACUAAUGGAUCAAAUACCAACUGUAGGAUAAACUUUCUCCAACAUGAACUUAAUUAAUAUCAUGGUAUAUUAUUUCCUUAAUUAAUAUCAAAAUGAACGAUGAAAAGAAAGAAGAUCUGGUCCUUGGACUCGGCAAGCAUGUUGAUUUUGAUGUUGAUGUUGAUGUUGAUGAUGAAGACGAAGAUGAUCAUCUCUUACUAAUAAUUAUAAUUAUAAUAUAUAAUAUCACUCCAUAGAUAUAUGUAGCGGUGCCUGCAUUCUUUAUGAUUUCGGAAUGGACGACUUGCGAGUUUCGAAGUAUUGAAAGCAUCGGAAAUCAGGUGCCAAUUUUCACCUAGAUCAUCGACCAGAGAGCUCAGCAAUAGAUCUUCCUGCAAUAACCAUGGAUGAUAGUACAUUCUUACCGAAUGGUAUGCCGCCAUUUUUAGUAAUUAAGUAGUAGUGUACGUGCAAAUUAAUUAAUAUCGACUGAUCAUAUGGAUAUAUAUAGGACUAUAAAGCGAUGGAAAAAGCUAGGUUUUUUUUAAAUAUUGUUAUAAAUCC
RNAcentral lists this long non-coding RNA (708 nucleotides) under Zostera marina. RNAcentral's name for it is "long non-coding RNA (ZMAR_LNC000442)". The record is from RNAcentral. Lineage: Eukaryota; Viridiplantae; Streptophyta; Magnoliopsida; Alismatales; Zosteraceae.